Molecule: ribosomal RNA, 440 nt
Filed under: uncultured bacterium
Lineage: Bacteria
Description: partial 16S ribosomal RNA
Rfam family: Bacterial small subunit ribosomal RNA
Source: RNAcentral
CCUACGGGCGGCUGCAGUCGAGAAUCAUUCACAAUGGGGGAAACCCUGAUGGUGCGACGCCGCGUGAGCGAUGAAGUAUUUCGGUAUGUAAAGCUCUAUCAGCAGGGAAGAAAAUGACGGUACCUGACUCAGAAGCCCCGGCUAACUACGUGCCAGCAGCCGCGGUAAUACGUCGGGGGCAAGCGUUAUCCGGAUUUACUGGGUGUAAAGGGAGCGUAGACGGUGUGGCAAGCCAGAUGUGAAAGCCCGGGGCUCAACCCCGGGACUGCAUUUGAAACUGUGCUGCUAGAGUGUCGGAGAGGCAGGCGGAAUUCCUAGUGUAGCGGUGAAAUGCGUAGAUAUUAGGAGGAACACCAGUGGCGAAGGCGGCCUGCUGGACGAUGACUGACGUUGAGGCUCGAAAGCGUGGGGAGCAAACAGGAUUAGAUACCCCAGUAGUC